RNAcentral lists this long non-coding RNA (346 nucleotides) under Gossypium barbadense (sea-island cotton). RNAcentral's name for it is "long non-coding RNA (GBAR_LNC011086)". The record is from RNAcentral. Lineage: Eukaryota; Viridiplantae; Streptophyta; Magnoliopsida; Malvales; Malvaceae.
UAAUGUUUAAACCCAAUGAUUCAAGGCAAAGAUAAAAGAUCCUAGAACAAGGAAAUACCCUUUUCCAUUUUCUCAACAACUAGAUUAAAAUGAAGAAUCGAAAUAGUACAGGAUGGAGCUUGAAGAGAAACAUCCAUUUUUCAGGGGCAAGGAUCUAGGGUUAGUUAAUGGAAAUCAAUAAGUUGGAACAACUUCGUAAGUCUAUUUGUGAUAUAGAAAUCGAAAGGAUCCGAUUCAAACUAUUUUCAAAUCAAAAAGAAAAGUUGUUGGAAUUGGUAAAACUCUUUCGAUCAAAAGUGUAUCAUGCGGGAAUUAAUCGUUCAUAUGAUUCUUUGAUAGAAAAAAA